RNAcentral lists this long non-coding RNA (25174 nucleotides) under Eucalyptus grandis. RNAcentral's name for it is "long non-coding RNA (EGRA_LNC006393)". Lineage: Eukaryota; Viridiplantae; Streptophyta; Magnoliopsida; Myrtales; Myrtaceae. The record is from RNAcentral.
GUGCUUUCGUCGCAGAAGAUCUCGUACCACUCAUCGAGGAAACACCCGGUACCAAUCCCGAAGGGAAAGGGAAUGGUGACGCCACCACAUGUUGGGGGGCAAUUACCCUUCACCAGGGGAGCUGCUAGCGAGGCUUCUUCAUGAAGCAGAAGCGACCCUAGAAGCAGAAGAAUCUGAAACAUUCUUGUUCCUGCUUCUUUUCUCGGGAAAUCGUGGACCUGUUCGAGGAAUGAAUGGCGGGCGCAGCUACUUAGGGUACGUUUAGUAACAUUUAUGUUUAAAAAUUAUUCCAGGGAACAGAAAUAGAAAAAAGUGUUUCUGUUCCGAGGAACAAUUUUUGGAUAAAAAAACGCAUUUGAUAAACUUGUUCCGGGAAUAAAAAAUGAACAGAAACGUGUUUGGUAAAUUUGUGUUCUUUUUUCGUUUCUUUUAAUAUUUUUAAUAUUUUUAACAUUUUUUCUUUCUUUUUUCUUUUUUUCUUAUUUUGGCCGGUCGCCGGCCUCGGCCAUGGCCGACGAUCGGCCGACGAGGGCCGGCGGCCUCACCCAACCACGGCGAGCCCAGCCACUGGGCUCGCCGUGGUUGGGCGAGACUUGGCCUCGCCUUGGCUGGGCGAGCUCGAGCUCGCCCAAAUCCGGUGAGCCCAAGCUCUCCCAGCCUUACCCCGUGCCGGCGAGGCUCGGCCUCGCCGGGGGCUAGCGACGCUUCGGCGAGGUCGCCAGCCAUGGCCGAGGCUGGCGACUGACCAAAGAAAAAAGGAAAAAGAAAAGAAGAAAAAAAGAAAAGAAAAAGAGAGGAGAGAAAAAAUUUGUUCUUAAAAAUUGUUCCAUAAAUAAGAAACACGUUUUUCUUGUUUCUUGUUUCUGUUCCAAAUGUGUUCUUGGGAACAAAAAAAUAGAUUUGAAACAAAAACGCAAACAAACGCGUUUUUGUUCUUUUUUUAUUCCCUGGAACAAAAAAAUAGAAAUUUUGUUCAUAAACAGAAAUAAAGAACAUUAACAAAUAAGCCCUUAUAUGCCACUUUCUCCCGUUGUCGUGGACGCUAUCAUAUUCGAGGAUACUUUCUUGAGUAGAACUGUCAAAGCUUCAAAUCCAUCCUGGAGUAUGAAAAUUCUCCGCUCCUAUUUUGGCGGCCAACUGAGAAGGAUGUCUCCAUUGGCUCUGCCUUGAUGGCAAUCGCGACUAUUUUUUUUUCAAUCUCAGCUGAAUAUGAAAAAAAGAAGAAAUUAACUAAAUAAACACAAAAAUAUUAAAAGUGAUGAGAUUUGGAGAUAUUUUCUUUUGUUCCCCGUUGAAAUGUCUCCUUUCAGAGAGGCUCUAAGUCAUUUUAAGAUUGGACGUCUUUGAAGGCUCCUCCUUUGUCCUGGAUCCUCACGAGGACGAGGGUUGAAAGGUCCUGUGAAAUGGGAUAUUUCGGAAAUAUCUGUGCAUGUCCUCCUUGCGUGUCCCACUGAAUUAUUCUUCCGCCAACGAUGACAACAGCGAAACCGAGGCAAUAUACUGGUUCAUACCUAAUAAGUAACUGUAUAUACUGUAGCAAUACAUUGGUGAAUGUAAUAGAAAAUGUCACAUCAGCAUUGUUUUCCUUAUUAAAUUUUCAAUUUUUUUUUGGAUGUGGUCCUUCUCCUGGUUGAGUGAUCCGUAGUAGAAAACACCCCGUGCCACUCGCACAUAACUAUAUAUAUUACACCAACGUAUAGGUAAAAUAGGAAAAAAAAGGUAAAAUCGUUUUUUUAUUUUCUCUUAUUAAAUUUUCAAGUUUUUUUUUAUGUGACGCACAUCCACGUUACGUGUUUUUAGAACACAAUUAAAAAAAGGAAGCCACAUUAGUAUGCUAUGUUGGCUAAAUUGGACGGAAUUAAUGAAGAAACUUCAUCAUAUCAGCUUAAUAAAUUUUAGGACUUGAUUCAAUUACUUAAAAGUUUUAAAAUUCGAUUAUACUUUUGUGAUGAGUUUCAUGGCUGGUGGUGCACUCAUCCAAAACAAAUAAGAACACUGAUCUUGUAGAUAGCCUUUUUUCUUUUUCUUUUUUCUUUUUGGAAAAUUGAAAUAUCCAAUGGCUUGAACUUCUUACGUCUGAUCGAGCUCAUCUAAAAACUUUCCUCCAUGUCAUUCCUCCAUGAUAGGAUCUUUUAAUUCCAUGCACUUUUUUUUGAGUCACGGCUAUUAUAAGGAAAGAAAAAACCUCAGAAUCAACAGAAGGUCUCAAACUAUCAAAUGGGUAUUGGCAAUAUUUAGAAUUUGAAAAAUUGAACCUCUGAACGAAGAUCCAUAUGCAUUCAUGCUAUGACACAAGCACCCGUACAUUGCCACAUAUGAUGGACGAUAUUUCAAUUUAAAUAUGGCUGAGAUUUUAUAUAUAUAUAGACACACACAUGUUAAGAGGUGGAUUUUAUUGGUUUUUGGCCACUAGUUGGUGGGAAGGGAGUUUUUGGCCGUAAUAAUUAAUUGUGCGGCACGCUCAUAAAUUAUAUCCCAAAGAAAUUGCUAGUGUUUUGGAACCGUGACAAAGUCUUGUGGUAAGAAUUUGCGUCUUCUUUGUGAGAAUGGGCUAAACACUAUAAGUUAUUGGCAUAACUAGGUCUAAGAAGGGUUGUGACUUGAGUGUGAUUAUAAUUUUUAUUGUAUCUCCUUUAUCUAUCAUGAAACCUUGUGCUGCUCUCCCGAUGGAGCCAAACAUUUACUAGACCACGUAAAUAUGAUGUUCGAUUAAUUUCCUUAAUCUAUUUAUUAAUCUUUGGAUCACUUGUUUUCACAAAAAAUUGGUAUAAAAGAUAGUUAGGCUGAGUUGAAGUAGAUUGAUGGCUACAAAAGAAGGAAAUAUAAGAGUCAACAAAUUUGAUUGGAAGGACUUUAAUUUUCAAAAAUGCAUAUUACGGAUAAUAGGUACCAGAGGAAUCUAUGGUUAUCUUUGUCUAGAGAGAACCAAAGUCGAUAAAGCAAGCAAAUUAGGAUUUAAUGGACACACAUGUGUUGGUUAUUACUCAAUUGUCACGUUGAACAUUGCGGAAGAGAAGACCCUACAAAUUUAAUGAAUGUCUGUCAAACAUAUAUGAGAAGCCCUCUACAAUCAACAAUGUCUACUCAAUAUGACUCUGUUUCACUUAAAAGAUGGGUGUGUUGGACGCAAAUUGCGCAACCCCAAGAUCUCCAUAACUAGAACAAGAACAUGCAUAAUUGAGUAGAAAGAUUAACGCACCUGUUUCGGGAUCCAUCGAACAUAAAGCAGAAGCAGAAAAAAGGAUUACCCACAUAUCAAGGGGAUCUACACAUUAAGUCAUUCUCCUCUAUUGCCCUCCGUAUCACUAGCUCAAUGAGGUGGCCCCCCUCACGUGUAGCGUUAGGUAAACGCCCCUUAGGUGAGGAUACAUGUGAGAAUUAGAGUUAGAUGAGAGACUUGAGCACUUAUUUAUAGAGUUUCCAGCCAGUCCCUCUCAUUACGGGCCAGGCUCAACUCGGCCCACACUAGCCAGCCCAUAUUAGACUAAUUAAGAAACUUCUAUCUCACUAUAGACCAACUCUAUUUUACGGUAACUGUAAAAACAGUAAAUUACAAUAUCAAUUAAUUUAAUCCACAUUAGGAAAACUCUUACAUUCUCCCACUUGGAUUAUAUUAAUUGAAAUCGACUGUAUGUGCGCACAUUUGGUCUAGAGAUAAUUCUUAAUAGUCAAUCAUAUCUCAUAAAGUCUUAAACACUGAAUCAUGGCGGUAAAUGCAUGUAUACACACAGAGCCUUCCAUGGUCACGAGUGUUCUCAACUUUAUUGAUAUGGAUUCAAUAUGGUAGUGUGGCAAAUGGAUAACAUCUCUCAUAGAGAGAUCACAUUUGUCAGUCACCAUUCUUUUACCUUAGGCGUCACAAAAACUUGUGCCACUAGAGAAUGUUUUAUGGUUCCAAUGAACCAACAUAUGUCUUGUCCUUAUGGUUAACCUUUCUUUAUGUAUCACAAGACAUAUGCACAAGACUAAUAACCGGAUGCCCCUAGCCUUCACUCAAGGUAAAUCCAGUACUGUUCAAAAAUAUUUUAUUGAAUGCAAAAGUUGAUACAUAUUAAAUCAUUACAAAGUGUAACGAACACAGAUGAAACAUUUCUCAGAGUAAAGCCAAAAUAGCUCCCACUAAACAACAGCAUCUCAUGAUGCUCCUAGGCCCAUGCUAAUGAUAUGCCACUCAAAUACACACGAGCAUAGGCCUUUAGUUAGUGGAUCUGCAAUCACAUCAUCUAUGAAAAUAUAUUAUAUUAAAACGUCACAUUUCUGUACCGUUUGCUUUUGGUAAAAAAUUUUGACCACCAUAUAUUUAGACCCCUUGAGACCUCAGUAGUAAAUAAAUAAUAUUACAAAUUUGUUAUCUCAAUACAAUCGUAUGGGUCAAUUCAUAAAAUUAAAAACGGUCAACUCCUUAAUGAGGUUCCAGAGCCUAAUAGCCCAAGUAAUAACCUAAAAGAAUGUUAUUAGCACUGCUUAUAUAGUAGAAGAUGACAUAGAAUUUUAUUUACUGCACUUCCUGCUAACAUAAAUAUGUAUUCCGUUAUUGAUUGCAUGUCAUCAGAACAGCCAGCAAAGUUUACAUCUAAAUACCCUACUAACUGCAAGAAUUGAACAUGUCUAUAAAUUAACAUAUAAUCUAUUGUCUUCUUUAAGUACCUUAAAACCUUCUUAACAGUAACCCAGUGAUCAUGUCCUGGAUUUGACCGAUAUCUGCUUAGAAGUCGCGUCACACAGACAACAUUUAGUUUAAUGCAAAUUCGAUCAUACAUUAUACUUUUAAGUGCACUGACACAAGGUACUUCUUUUAAUUAGAUUUUCUCAAUAUCUAAAUAAGGACAAUGUGAUAGAUUUAGUCCAUCACCCUUAAUAACAGGAGCAAUUCUUGGCUUGCAAUAAUGUAUAUUGAAUAUUUCCAAUAUACAAUCAGCAAAUGUUCUCCGAGAAAAUCUAAUAUAAUAUGUCAAAAACGGUCCUUACAGACCUCAGUACAUAGGAUAUAAGAUGUCUCAAGGUCACAACUUGUAAGUAAAAUAUUAUGUACAUAAAGUAUGAGAAAAAAUAAAUUUCCUCCCACUAACCUUACAGUAUAUUGAAUUACUUUGUUCCAAAUUAAACAAAAUAACAACAUUAUGAAACUUUAAUAAUAUUAUCUGGAAAUUUGCUUAAGACUAUAAAUAAGACUUUUCAAUCUACACACAAGUUUACUUGAAACAUUUGUUGCAAAAUUCUCCAAUUGAACAAUAUAGAUUUUGUAUCCAUUUGGCGUAACUUUAUAUCAAAAUAAAUUAUUAAUACCACGUUCACUCUGAAAGAAUAUUUACAGAAAUAAUUAUUUUUUUACUAUAAACAAUCCAUAUAAGAUGCAAAAUAAUUCCAAGUGGAUAUGAAUUCCGACGCACUUAAUAUUGGAUUAGAUAACCUCACUUUUGCAUGACACCUCUAAAUUUCAUAUGAUUCAAGUAAUUUAUGUCCAAUCUUUAAUUCAAAAGAAGUUUAUGAAACAACUUUGAUAAGAGACACAUUUUGUAUGUGAAAAAAAUUACUUUCAUAAUAUCAACCCACAAAAAACCAAAUAAAUUAGUCUUACUAAUCAUAUUCAUUACCAUGUUCAAUAUGGUGCAUUUAUGCCUUUUGGCCAAAUCUUUUUGUCAGAAUUUUCAGGUAUAAUAAUUAAAAGGCCAAUUCCAUAAAUAAAAAAAAGCACCAACUUUAGCCAUUUUCCCAAAUCUAGCCCGAACUAUAUUUUGUUCCAAAAAAAAGCCCAAACUUUUAGUAACAUCCCAAAUCUGACCUUCGUUAUCAUCCUUCCAUAGUCACCGUUAGUCAUCUCUGAGGCAUUUCCAUGUCACCCAGAAAAUUUGUUCCAAUUAUUUUCCAUUUUCUCGAAGAUUUUCCGUUCGUUUUUGUUCGGAAUUGAGCCAAGAAAUCACCGGUUUCUUAUCCUAGCGAGCGUGAGGUCAUGAUUGCAACGAUGGAUUCUAACGACGAGGAGGAGAUCGAGUUCGAAGAGGACAAGAAAGUUAGGGUUGUGAAGGAGGCCGGUGUCCCCGUCGCCGUCGACAAGGACGACGAGGAGACAACGAGGAAGAAGAGGAGGAAGACGGCAUGCAAAGCUAGGAGGAAGCGAACGGUGAAGGAGAUGGGCGCGGCGGCGUGGGCGACAAGAACGACGACGAGGAAGAGUAGGACGACGGUGCGUUAUCGACCCACCAAAGUCUCUUUUUUUUUCCGUCUCUUCCUCCUACUUUAACCUCGCUUGUCGCAGCCAUGGACGGGGCUUUGUUUCAGAUCUAGAGUUGGCCGUCAGGAAGAUGAAGACAAAGAUGAAUAGCCUCGUGAGCAGAUUGUGAAUUUCUGAAUCAACUUUAGCAUUCAAGUAUGGGAUUCUCUUCUUCUUUUUUCCUGUUCCAACGAUGAGCUGAAAUGAAUACAAGGAAACCUUUAGCAUUCAAGUUUCUGGGUUUCCUUUUCUUUUUCCCCCAAGAUUCCAUAGAUUUCCCAUAACCCAGCUUCCAUAGAUUCCGUAUAACUCGAGUUGUUUGUGGCCAUGUCUUCCAUGUUUGGCCAAAAAGACAAGUCAAGAGACUCACUGACUUUUUACUCACGUUGCUCUAUAAACUCCUCUAAAUAUCAGAUCUUUUGGCUAAAAAGACAAGCCAAGACACCCAUUGCCCCUUCCUUGUCUCAAAGAUUUUUCCUCACAUUUUUUCUUUUUGAAGACUUCUAUUUUUUCCAAAUUUUUGGCCAUUUGCUCAGGCCAAAAACGGGUAAAUAUGACCACAAAGACAAUGGAGAUGGAGGACUCCUUUCGGCGAAAAUGAAGCUAACAACAAGGACGACGGAGGGGUGGUCUGGUUUGGACGUGAAGUGUUGGCUUGGACGAGCAUCGACAAUGGACGCGCGGAUGUCAAGCUUGGCGGUGACUCUAGUCGGAGGAUGUCAGAGAGAGUGACUUGAUGAGUAGGACGAAGAGAAUGCCACUAACGGUGACUAUGGAAGGAUGGUUAACGGAGGCCAGAUUUGGGAUGCUACUAAAAGUUUGGGCUUUUUUUUGGAACAAAAUAUAGUUUAGGCCAUAUUUGGGAAAAUAGUUAAAAUUGGUGCUUUUUUAUGGAAUUGGCCUAGUAAUUAAAUUACCACCCCAGAAUCUACGAAGUAUUUGACAAAUGACCCUUUAAGCUAUUUCGCAUUGUCAUACUUGUCAAAAUACUCACAGCCACUGUUAAGCCUGACAACCUUUUAAGAUUAAUUGUAAUUGUUUUAUUCUUUAUCUCGGUCAUUUUCCUUAAACAUAAAAUUUUCGGAAACAACAUUUUAAUCAUAUACGAGAUGUAUAUGUCAUUAGGACUUAAACAAAAUCUUUGCAGAUAUGUCCUAAUUUCAAUAUCAGACAAUAUAUAAUUUCAAACAACUAAGGCUUCCAUCAUCUUAUAAAAGUGCAGUCUGCAGACAAACCUCUUUUCAAGUGUUCCAAAAUGGAAUGCUUCAUGAACAAUAAGCAAAUUCAAUUGCUCUUUUCUCAAGCAACAAAUCAUAUAUCCACAACUUAAAAUUUGAAGCGGUAAAAACCUCAAUAAUAAUGAAGUUAUUAAUUACAUAAAAUGUGACUGAAAACCAAGUAAUGUAUAUAAUUAGCAUUAUGUGAGCACUGUGUAACUUGACAUAUAAGUACACAUCUAGAGAGUUACACGCACAAUUAUAUAAUCACCUUUGGGCAUAAUACAUGACAUGCAGUUGUACACUCCCCACAUGAUAGCGGUUAUGAGAAUAUAUUCCAAUUCUUCGUGAAUUCAUCACCUUUGGGCAUAUUAAUCACUAGAAUCAGUCACCCUUCCAUCACAUUAUCAUGUAUCCCUCCAUGAAUUAAUACACAAUCACCUCCUUUGGAAGUAUGACUACGUAUUAGACCAAGAGACAUCACAAUCAUUAUACGAGAUCGAAAUUUCUCAAACCCAAUCAAGCGUGCCACUUUGGCGGUCACUACUCAAUUUAAUCAUUGAAAUUCUCUCAUACCAGGGAUAUAAACUUUACUUCUCACAUACACCAUAUACAUGUGAUGUUAACUUUAGUGAUAGGGACAUCAUAUCACCAAAAUCACAUAUCAUGCUAAUUACAUUACUUUAUUCAUUAAUAAAAUCUUUAUUUAUACAUACACACACACACACACACACACACACAUAUAGCGAACCUGAAAGACAGAUUCCAAUGAGAUCACUAAUCACAAUAACACAAGAAAAUUCUCAUAGAAGCAAGCAUCUUGUGCACCCUGAUUACUGAUUACUAAAAUAACAUUAAAAGAAUGCCGAUUCAAAGGAUCCCUCACAAGUUAACAUCAAUAGCAAUACAGGGUACUCUAGAUUGACAAGCUUGAUAACUAAUCAACUAUUGCUCAUGAGUUUCAUACGGCAAAACAUGACUCCAAGACCAACAACUGAUUUAUUAGCCAAUUUUUAAGUAACAAAUUAUCAUUGUAAUCAACCAGUGGCCUAUUAAUUGAGUCAAACCAAAGAACAAAAUAUCUAAAAUUUAACAGUAGAUACUAUUGCUCUGCGUAAAUGUUGUUAUACUCCUUAACCAUAAAAAUAUUUAACUUGAUAGACAUUAACAAGUGACCAGAUGAGUUCAUGUACAAUAUGCAGUAACUUAAUUGACAUGCAUUACCCACAUACAUCAGAUAUGUUAAUCAGUACAAUCAGUUUAGUCAUGAGUUCUUAAGACAUCCAUCAUUCAAAGAUUACCAGCGUAUCAAGGAGUAUGCUUAAGUAACACAAGUUUUAUAACCUUUACUGUUUUUCAUCAGCUCAAUACAUAGCUCAAUUAGUAUUCCAUAAUGGUUGUAUAUCAUUAAGCCAGCUUCAGUUCACAAUAAAAUUUAAUUUUUAUUAAUGAAUCAUAACAUUAUAAUAUUUAUGUGAUAACAUACCUGUAACUCAACACUUAUAUUUCCAAAAUCACAGAAAAUAUAAGAAAAAUACGCAAAAAUACACUAAAAAUACACGUAUUUAGGGUUCCGUAUGUAUUUUUACAUCCAUAAAAUUUCAAACAUGUAAAGUAAAUGCAUCACAAUGUAGAGGGAAAUCAUACGAAUCCAAAGCCGCUAGCCACACAUCGAUCGGAGUCCCCACGCGCCCACACGCAUCGCCUGAGUGCGCCGCGCGUGGAGCUCACGCGCAGCGCGCGUUUGACGCCCAAGCGGCGCGUGGCCAUGCGUGGCCGCUAACCGUCUUGCUCAUCUCGUCAAGCCCAGUCCAAAUUUGUGAUUUAAUUUUAUUUUUAUUGAACAAAAAAUCUUGAAAAUCACAAAUUAUGGCAAAAACUUUAUGCGUUCAAGUUCUAGGGUUACGGUUGCUCUGAUAUCACAUGUUGGACGCAAAUUGCGCAACCACAAGAUCUCCAUAACUAGAACAAGAACAUACAUAAUUGAGUAGAAAGAUUAAUGCACCUGUUUUGAGAUCCAUCGAACAUAAAGCAGAAGCAGAAAAAGGCUUACCCACAUAUCAAGGGGAUCCAUGCAUCAAGUCGUUCUCCUCUAUUGCUCUUCGUAUCACUGGCUCAAUUAGGCGGCCCCCCUCACAUGUAGCAUUAGGUAAACACCCCUUAGGUGAUGAUACAGGUGAGAAUUAGGAUUAGAGGAGAGACUUGAGCACUUAUUUAUAGAGUUUCCAGCCAGUCCCCCUCAUUACGGGCCAGGCUCAACUUGGCCCACACUAGUCAACUCAUAUUAGACUAAUUAAGAAACCUUCUAUCUCACUUUAGACCAACCAUGUUUUACGGUAACCGUAAAAACAGUAAAUUACAAUAUCAAUUAAUUUAGUCCACAUUAGGAAAACCCUUAAAGGGUGAAGAUGCAUCAUGGUUGAGCAUAUUAGUGAAUUCAAUUAGAGAUUGAAUUUGCUAAUAAUGUAUGUGCUUUGAUUCUAUUAUCAUAAUUGCUUGAGAGUUGGAAUACUAUAAUUCCUCUAUGUAUAUAGUAAAAUUAUAUAUGCUCGUUGAAAGGCGCAAUUUUAGUGCAAGUACGCUUAUUUUUAUUUUCCAUUUUGUGUGUGCGUCGUUUUCCUUUUACUUUCAAUUUCUACUAGUCCUGCAAAUUGGGUUGACAGUUGAAACACCGAGUUCGAUACGAUUUUCACGUUUCGUAUGCGUAUAGACCUAAUACUACGGAGAAAAAGGGGAUAUCGACAGAGACCCUUGAUAGUGUUAUUUACGUGAAAGAAGGGACUGAAAUAUCAUGUAUUGUACGCAUUAUUUCAUUACACACUCUGUUACUUCCUCGUAUCUGCUUGGGAUGCUUCCUUGAUGAUAAAAAGAUCAAAGCUCCAAAGGUAGACGACGCCAAUUUAAGCAGACGAGCGCGACUUUUCCCACUGUCGUGGCCAGAACUUUGUCCUCAUCUUUUCUCACGGGAAAAGACCGGGAGCAUUAUCAAAAUGAAUUAAAAUGAUUUAUCACGGGUGGACUUGGACUUUUGAUGGCCCCACUCUCGUAUUCCUACUACUUUUCUUCUCCUUUAAAAAAAAAAAAAAACCAUUUUCCACGACAAGAACGCCUUUUUAAAUGGCGAAAUCAUUCAAUAAAUUUAGACUACGAUGACCAAGACGUCUUUUCUUCUCUCUCGACGAAUGAAAUGGCUGGGCAUCUUUUCGAUCUACAAAGGUGAAACCAAAAAUCAGUUUAUUAAAGCAAAAGUGGUUUCCUCUUGACUUGUUUAAAAGUAGUGGGUGUGCGUGUACCACGGCCUCUCCCCCAUUAUUGAAGCGGAAUUCAUUUUUAUUGUUCUUAGUCCAACGCUGUUCGUGCUCAAGCAAUCAAUAAAAGCACUUCGGAAUGCUAUUUUGGCCCCCCAAAAGAGGAAAAAAGACGUAUGUGAAUCAUGAGAGAAGUCUUUUGCUUCCACAAUGAAAGAGAUUCCGCCCAUCAUGCACUAGAAUUGAAGAAAGCUAAAUGCGAUUCUUGCUUUAAACCGGUCUUAUUAAUUCGCUACUGCUCUUGAUCAUGCUACAAAAAGUAUGCGGAACUAUUGGCACAGUUUUAUUUUUUUAUUUUCAGUAAAAAUAAAUAUAACAAACUAUUUAUGGUACCGACGAGAGGAGACAGACAAUAGAGCCGAUUGUUUUUGGAAAAAAAAAAAACAGUUAGGUCCAAAGAAAUUGCUAGACCAAUAUCCAAAAUAUGUUCAGUCAGAAAAAAGUUUAUGCAUUUUUAACAUGCGUAGUCUUCCCCAAAGGAAGGACAGUACCAAUGGGUCGUGUGAAUAUCUAAUUGGCUUUAGUAUCUGGAAUUUGCUGGUUCAUCUUCAUACAUAAGAAGAGAAUUUGAAACGCUGAGCGAGUUCGAUAUGAUUUUCACGUUCUGCCUAAACCUAUGGAGAAAAGGAACAGGGUUCAAGUCCCAUAAUUCUAUUCAUUAAAUGAAAGAAGGGAAGAAUUUUCCGUGUGAUGUACUUGCAGAUGUAUUUUUGGAUCAUGCAUCUGUUCAUAACUUGAGAUAUGCUCGAGCUUGAUUACUUUAAUAAAGUAGACUCCAUCAUGUUUCUGAAACUGAAAUCAAAUCGCAGCUCUUUUCGGCACCGAAAACUAAUCGGCGAAUUGAGCUGGCCGAAGGUUGAUACAAACAGGACGCUUGCUUCAUAAGAGUACGAGCGCAACCCUAUGGUAUUCCUCACGAUGAGCUACAACACUGUCAAGAUAAAUGAGGGAAACCAAUUUCCAAUUUGUUGACUACUCAGAAAUAGCAUGUUCCCCCAACUUGUUGUCUAGGCCACGAGGUUUCUUCUCUCGUCCUCUACUCAGCAAAGAGAUUGGGUUGUGUCUCAUAAAGAGUUCAACAAAGACCCCUGCAAAAUUGUACACAUUAUUAGGAUUCCGCACACAAUCACAAGAAAAUAGAAAAAAAAAAGAAAAAAAAAAGAAAAAAAAAGGAGUAAAGCAAGAAAGAAAAUUCGAGACACAAGAUUUAUGCGGGUUUGCUCUAAACUAGGGCGAUGUCCAUAGAAUUCUGUUCUAAUUAGCAUAUUACACAUUUCUGUUACAUUUCUCAAUUACAAGAGAAAGAGCACAACUCCCAUGCUAUCUUGUCAAUAGGGAGUACAAACUAGCCUAACACAUAUAUCUUUUUGUUGGUGAAUUGAUGCCUUUGGAAAUAAUCACAGGCCUGUUCAUGUGUAGCUAGAGAUUCUUGUGGGGGGAGGAUGCUAGAAAGGACCGCCUUCACUAUGGUUCCCGAUGUGAAUGGUUGCAAAUCUGAAAAUGUUGCUACAUGUCGGUCCACAUGAUAAGAUUUCAUUGAUCAUAAAAAUGCAAGGCUUGAGCAUGUCUAAGUCCCAUCAAUGCGGAACCAAUUUGCACGUAAACAAAUGAGGGAAGACCGGCAUGGUGGGAUCCAAUGGAUGACUUGUUGAUAGCGGCCCUUGUGGUCUUCAAUAACGUUAUCACCUGUGAACAUUUAUCAGGACAGGCCGUUGACUUAGGGUGCGCAUGAGAACAUUUCUUGGUUUCAGAAAUUGUUCUUUUCUAUUUCUUUUCAGAAAUAGUUCUUUUCUAUUUCUAUUCUGGGGAACAAUUUCUAUGUAAAAAAACCCGUUUGAUAACUACACAAAAUUUUUACUCUAGAAAUAGAAAAAGAAUAGAAAUGCGUUUGGUAAAAAACAGUUUCUUUGUUAUAUUUAUUUGUUUUUUUUUUUUAUUUUUGCUGGUAGACCGCCGGACGCCGCCGCCGCCGCACGUCCCUGGCGGUCGACGGCGGCUGAUGGGCCGUGCGGCGGCAAUCGGCGGCGGCAGUCGGCCGGCGGCGGUCGACCGGCGGGGACGUGCGGCGGCGGCGGCGUCCGGCGGCGUCUGGCGACAACCGGCGGGGGCGGCGUCUGGCGGCGUCUGGCGACGACCGGCGGCGGCGGUCGGUCGGCCUCCGGCGGCGACGGCAGCAACGGUCGCCCGGCGGCGACCAGCGGCGGCGAAGGUCGGUCAGCCUCCGGCGACCGACGGCGGCUUCCGGCGGCGACCGGCGGCGGCGUCCGACGGCGACCGGCGGCGACCGGCGGCGGCGUUCGACGGCGACCGGCGGCGACUGACGGCGGCGUCGGUCGGUCGGCCUCCGGCGACCAGCGGCGGCGGCGGUCGGCCUCCGGCGGCGGGAGCGGCGGUCAGCCGGCGGGGGCGGUGGUCGGUCGGCCGGCGGCGGCGGCGGGCGGCGGCGAGCAACGGUCACAGCGGUCAAUGGCAGUCAACAAGAGAAGAAUAAAAGAAAAAAAAAAUUAACUUAUUUCUUAAACUUGUUCCCGGGAACAAGAAGCAACUUUUUUUUACUUCUCAUUUCUAUUCCAAAACCAUUCCCGGGCUAACUUUUUGUUCCCGGGAACAAAAAACUAACUUGCCGUUAUCAAACAGGUUUCUAUUCUUUUUUUGUUCCGGGGAAGAGAAGAAUAGAAAUUUUUGGGCUGGGGAAGGUUACCAUGCAGACCCUUAAAGUCUCCGAUGACGAUAGAAUAGAGAGACCAUCGAUCCUUUUCUAGCUGUUAUGCAGAAGAUGACUUUCCUUGGCCCACAAGCUUCUAGUUGGCAGGCCAUCAUUAAGCUUGGCUACGUCAUUGGUCUUGUGUCGACCUAUCUUCCACGGCAUCAAAAGUUAUCACUGCUCCAUCAUCAAAGCGCUGACGAACUUGUGCUCUUAGGCACUGCUACCUCCCGUGGACAACAUUAUGGACUCCUGAUGCGUCCGAUGGGCUAUAUCUAGGGUCUUAGAUGGUGCUGAGUAACUGUAACUCACAUGUAAUCUCUUGUAGUGGAUGCUUGGCUACUCGACCCUUUCAUUUUUGUGAUAAUCAUUCACGGUCAUUUGUGUGAUAAUCAUUUCGUGAUUUCUGAGUCAACACAAGCCGUUUCCCCAUUUGCUAUGAUAAGGGCUUGUGAAUUGGAAAUGAAGAUGCAUCUGGCAGAUGGCCUAUUGUGAAAAAUCCUCACAAAAACGAUCACAAUAGUGGGACGAGUACAAGGAAUGGAGUAGCGUGCCAUUUAGGCCUAGUAGAACGCGCAGCACAUCAGCGCCAUUUCCAGGAUUUUUAUCCAGCGAAACAAUACAAUUUUUUAUUAUAAGAUUCUGAUCGACAAUCGACAAUUCAUAUUUCAAUUUAAGAUUUCUAUUCCUGAUUAUGCCUUUUGGGCGGGAACGCUUUGCCAAUUCCUUUUCUCCGGCGUUUCUAGUACAGGCAAAUAAAAAUGGGCUUGAGGGGGCCCUAGCUGCAAGAGAGGCCCAAUUAGGUGGAUAGUGAACUAUUUUGGGGAGAAGAUUUAGGUUUCAGAGAAGCAUACUACGAGCAGUGCGACCAUUUUUAUGAAACUUUCCAUUAUAAAAAAUGUUCCACACUUAUGGAAAAUAAAGGAUUCACACAGAAAACAAUUGCCAAAAUUUAAAAAAAAAAAAUUGAAAAAAGAGAAGACAAUAUUGGCCAUGAUCCCACUUUCUCACUUGUAGUUUUGGAGGUGAUUAUUAAAUAAACAUAGAAUCUGUAAUCAAUUGAAUAGAAUAGUGGAUAAAAUAUUGAAAAAAUCACAAUUAUUGAUAUUUUUCAGCGAACAUAUUUAAUGCGCAUGUGAAAAUACAAUCAUCUAUAUAGAAAAGUUCUUACUCAAAGAAAUUGGUAUGUGUGAAGUUCGAGACAAAAACAUAAGAAGUAUACAACUCAAGGAGCAUAUCUAAGGAGAUUUCAUCUUGUUGAACUACGAAAAAUCCAUAGUUAAAUUUCAAGAUUUUGUGCUCAAUUUAUAAUUCAAUGUUGAAGACAUAAAACUAAUUCAAUUUUGUGCUCAAUUUAUAUAUGAUUAAUUUUCACUAUAUUUGUUUACUAUUGAGAAUUGGCAAGUAACAUUCGCAAGGAGGGGGAUAGAUAAUAGUGUAACUACUAGGGUUCUUUGAUGUUGAUACAGGUAGUUCUAGUGGUGAGUUUCGAUACAUCAGAUAGUGAGGAUUGAAUGAUAUCUUGAUCUAAGCAGCAAGAGCAUCAGCAGCUAGCAACAAUCCUUCCAUGCUAUUGACAAUUUAGUGUGAUCCUCAGGGAAGAGUCGGGUAAGGCAUAUGCAAGAUCGCUUUCUUUUCCAAAAGGGAAACAUCUUUCUUGUUUUUUUUUUCCCCAAGCAAGUAACAAUCUAACUGAACCACGAAGGUUGGUGCGCCGUGUGACUAGUGUAAGUUCUACAACAAUCAAAUUGACAGCAAGUAUUCAAGGAUCUCAAGACGAACUAAAAUCACAGCAUCUUGCUCAAGUUAGAUGAUUGCAAAAUUGGCACAUACAUGCUAGGAUAAUGCCUAGCCAAUUCAAUGAUUGGUAUGAUUUCAUAGUUUAUUGAUCCCCAACAUCGAGAAAAAGUUCGUUACCAAUAAGCAAUAAAUAACUAACCAAAAUCCUCAUAUUAGUAAACUAACAAGUUUUCCUCCCUUCUCUCUUUUCUUUUUCUUUUGCUUCGAAGACUGAUUUCCAUGACAAACGCAACGACAUGACUCAUAAGAAUGAGAGGUUGGACUAAUCUUCACCAUGUUGCACUAGAAAAAAGUGGCUGCACUUCCAAAAAUAUAGUGACAUCCGCAUCGAUGUUUGACUUGCUAGAUUUAAAAGUAGUAGCGUAAGAUUUAGUUGCCUCACCAUCCUCUUGAUCUUGCUGAGUACUCGAAGGAUAUUGGAGCUUCCUUAUCCCCUCCAACUCCAUUGCCACUUCUUUCAUUGUAGGUGGGUUCCUUCCAUUCAAGUUCAAGUUUCUUUUCACAAGGUUAGUAUCUAAUUCAAUCUCUUCCUUCUUACCUUCUUUCCAAACUUGAGCAUCAACAAUGUUGAACAAGCAAUUCUCCUUCAUCGAAAUUAUGAAAUAGGUUGUGAGGCUUCUUACUUCUUGUUCCCUCAACGACGAGAUUGGCUUUUGUCCCGUUAAGAGUUCAACAAGGACAACUCCAAAGCUGUAGACAUCGCUUUUGUCUAUAAAUUGACUUGAUCAGAAAUACUUUGAAUCUAGGUAGUCAAAAGUCCCCUACACCAAUGUGGUCACAAGGGUUUGAUCGAGGGAAAUGGACAUAGAAGUGUCGAAAUCCGCCACUUUUGCUCGAUAUUUCUUAUCCAAGAGGAUAUUGGUGGACUUGAUGCCUCGAUGAUAUAUCAUAAUAGAGGCUACUGAACAUAAAUAGAAUAAGACUCCAGUAAUUUUAGUAAUUCAUAGGCAUGUGUCCCACAAUACGAGAAACUUGGCAUUUGGGUCAUCAUAUAUUGGUAUAGAGUUCUAUUUGGUGUGAACUCAUAUACUAAAAGUGGGAAUUCCGUCUCCAAGCAACACUGCAAUAACUUGACCACAUUUCUAUAGUUAAUUUGUGAGAGAAUUACGACUUCAUUUAUGGACUGUUCGACUUUUCCUUCGUUUAAAACUUUUGAUUUUUUAAUAGCAACUAUUUUUCCAUCGGUUGACAUUCCUUUGUAAACAAUACUUUGUCCCCCUUGAUCGAGAAUCCUAUUGUAGUUGAAAUUGUCAAUGGCCUUCUCUAAAUCCUCAGCAUUGAACAAUUUGCUUUUCUCAACGUUGUCUUCUGGGAAAGAUAGCUCACUUUUCAACAAAAAGCCACCAUUGUGUUUGAAAUACUUAUUUUCUCUUCUUGAUGUAUCUGUACAACCUCCAUAAGAAAAGACACAAAAGUAGUGCCCCAAGGCUUGCCCUAGCCCCUGCAUUGUAAAAGUUUAAGGUGCAUAAGUGAGAAAAUUGUACUUGCUUGUCAAAAAAUCUAUGAAAGGCACUUAUCAUCAAAGUGAAUCUAAUUAAAAGGAAAACAUAUAGGAGUGAUUAACCUAAAUCUCCUUUCAUGCGGAUUUUCUCAACAACCAUGAAAAAAUAAUUCGUCUUCUGUUUAAGUUCCAUCCCUAAAAAAUUUUAUUAAUAUAUCUGCACCGUACAAUUGAUCUCCACCUAGCAAGGAAUUUAGGAAACCACUGAUGAAAGUGAAAUAGUUCAUAGCAGCAUUCAUCUUUACUAUCAUUGUAAUAAUUGCAAUUAAAAUAUACCAGAAUAAAUAGGAAUCCUGGAUAUCUUUAGAUAAAUAUGAAGCGGUGGCAUUAGAGAAGCUCAAGCAUUUUCUUCUCUAUUUAACUAUUAGUGUUAAAGAAAGUUUUGAGGUUGUUUUAAUAGAUACUAUUAAUUGGAACUUACCUAUAAUCAUCACAAGGCGAAUGCGCAAUCAUGUUAAAAUGAAGAGUAAGGUAAUACUUAUUUUGGACCUUUUGUGAAUGUAAUUCAUGCUACAUUGCACUUUUUCCACCAACGCUACCAGCAUGAAGCUGUGGGUUAAAAGAUCUACUUACCAAUAAGAAUGAAUUUAUCUGUCUUUCUACCAUCGAUGCAGUCAUAGGAGCCCGGUUUGUCCACACAAGUCCUGGUACACCUAUUUGAACCUUCACAUUCAUUAAUAUCUGAUGACAAAUAUAGAAUAAAGUAUAUUAGCAGUGAAACGCACCUCCUUGGCUAAAAGUAGCAAGACUAGUAGGUCGCAUUUUCUCACAAAUUGUUAAUUCCAUGGCUAAAAUAUGAUACAAAAAGACUGUCAUGUUCCCCUUCAUUUCCAGGGAAUUAUUAUCGAUAUAAUCGAUUUUGUUUGAAAUUGAAUUCACUUCGUAUAAUCUCAGACAGAAAAAUAGAAAAGGAAGGCUGAAAAGCAUGUAUCUGAUCAUUUAACAGUGUGAAUGCAUUAUUUUCAGAGAAAAAUGAUCUCGAACAGCGUGUGUACUAAGGUCGCAGGGUCUUGGGUGUCGUUGGCUGCGAAUCCCGGCACGAGCUCUGGUUCGGACGUCCCUGUUUCUCACCCCUCAGUUGGCGUAUACUAAAUGUUCGAUAAAUUGCCUAAAUUAGACGCCCGUUCUUGGUCUUCAUUGUGCCCGAAACUUGCUGUGUUUUUGUUUAUACUGAGCAUAAAUGAGUUGUCAACCUUGGUCAUUCAUUACUUGCUGAUUUUGGUCUGUCUCGGACAAGUUCGAAGCGUCCUCUUAGCUGACGCCCUCCGCACGUUUGAUGAAAUGUCUGACUGAAAUGUACGCGUUUAUUCUUAAGUCCUCCGUCCCUUUUAAGUGUUCGUGAUUGGUCAAAUGCGUUCCGGUAGAUUCCCACUGCUACCCUUUGUUUUGAAUGCCCUUGUGUCGUGGUUUAUUUUGGCGUGCAAUAUGUUUCCACGGGUGGCCGGUUCUCGGUCGGCAAAGACGGGGUAGUGGUGAUUGUGGCCACAUAUGACAGCCGCGUAGUGGCUCGGCGUGGCUUGUAUUGUGCCCGAACCACUCUGAUUAACACUUGGGUCCUUUUAGCUGUUUGCGUCGGUCAUUGUUCAUGGUCCUUGGGAAAGAACGAAGCGCGUGUCUGGGCAAGGAAAUGCUCAUGUGAAGCCGUGAGUGGGGAACUAUGUAACACGGACACUCUAUGGAAGCUUUCGUGUCAUGUCCAACACUCCGACACGUGGUCAACUCUCUCCGACACGCUCUAACACUCGAGUCCAGAAUUCCGACACACAAUUCCGAUACGCACGGGGUCAAUUUUAAACAUUUAUAAUACUUGAGAGGUCAAAAUAUAAAUAUACACAAAAGAAGUAAUAAAAGAAGUAAUAAAAUUGCUAUAAAUAUACAUGCACAGGGUCAAUAUUUUUUUUUUUUCAGUUUUGUUUUUUUAGAAUUGUUUUAGUUUUUAUAAAAGUCUUUUACUAUGAAAGAAGUAAUAAAAAAAAAUGCUAUAUAUGAUAAAUAAACAAAUUUGAAAAUAUCAUUUCAGCCUUUUUCUUUAAAUAAUAUUUUUUUCUCUAAGUUUUGUGUAUUAUUGUAACAAAUUAAAAUAAUGAAUGAUAUUAUUUAAUAUUUAAUAUAUAACGUGUCGGAACGUGUCGAAAUUCUCUAUUUUUAAAAAAUGACGUGUCGGCGUGUCGUGUCGUGUCAUGUCGCGUGUCGCGUGUCCGUGUUGGUGCUACAUAAGUGGGGAGUGGGAAUUGGCUAGUGGGCUUGUGUUGUUAGGGGUCUGUUGGGCUCAAAAAGAUUUGGAUCUUGGUUUGAUUUAAAAAAAAAAAAAAACUUGGGUUCUUUUGGGCGUAAAGAGAGCUUACCUGUAGUGGGCUUAAGAAGAGAGAAAAGAGUUGGGCUGGUUUGGGGGUUUCCUUGCUUUGGGUUGGCCUUCCUUAUUAUUCCUCCUCGGAUGGGCCUCAUUUUGGGAGGGACCGGACUGGGCCUGAUAUGCAGGCAGAGUACGGCCGCGGGUUGGGCGACCCGGGUUUUUUUUUUUAUAUAAUACAAUAUUACUAUUUAAAUAUUUAAAAAAUUAACAAUAAAAAUAUUCCAAUAAAAAUAUUUCCAAAAAAUCAGGAAAAGCUUAAGAAUAGUCUUCGGAUGGUUUUUCCUUGAAGUAUUUGAAAAUCCUUAAAAGAAAACAAAAAAUAAAUUGUGUUUAAAUUCUUAAAAGCAAAUGUCGGAUUGCUAUUUGCACAUUUUCUUUAUUCCAAUUGCACCUUUAUAAUGCAUGGAUUGCUAUUUCUUUAGCUUGGUUAGGAAUGGAAUUCUAGGACUCGUGAUUAGUAUAAAAUGCUGAACAAAUGCUUUGCUUGAUGUUUAAACAAGUCUAGGUAUCGAAAGGAUAUUGAUUGAUUAAAUGGUGCAAUCAGAUCCUCGAUCCUAAUUUUUAUAGUUGCGUAAGAGUAAAAUAUUUCUCUCAAUAUUUUAUUUGAGUUUCCAAUUGACCCAUCAAAAACCAACUAAUUGUAAAUUCUUAAUGUAAAUGACUUGUAGGUUCAAAUUAGUGGGUUUGGGAGAGCUUAGACUAAGUCUAGCCUUGGUGCUAGCCAUUAACCUCCAUGCUUGCAGGAGGGCUUCAAAGAGGUCUCGAUAAUACUUAACUUAAACACCUAUAUUGAACUAGAGAAAAUUUGAAAAGGGAACUAUUCAAAUACCCUUUUCUUACAACACUACCAACAAGGAAAUAGCUUAAACAAACAGUUUACAAUUGACCAAUAAAUGGGCAAGUCUCCCUUACUUGUUAAGGUUAAGAGGGAUGGGUAAAGACCAAUUUUGAUGCAACUUGAAUAAUCAAGUCAUUCGCCUCUGCACGUAUAGCUAGAAAUUGUUGUGGAAAUGAUGGUAGAAAUUACUAUCUUCACCAUGAUUCAUAAUGUGCGAAUGGCUGCACAUCUGAAAAUGUAGUUGCAUCUGUGUCCACAAAAGAUUUGCUAGAUGUGAAACGAGAGACACGAGAUUUAGCGGCCUCCAUCUUUUCUUGAUUUUGUUGGAAGCUCGAAGAGCUUUGGAGCUUCUUGAUUCCCUCCAACUCCAUUACCACUUCUUUCAUUGUAGGCCGGUUCCUCCCAAUCAAGCUCAAGCACCUUCUUGUGAGGUUAGCAACGGCUGCAAUCUCUUCUUUCUUGCCUUCCUCCAUGACCCGAGUGUCAAUAAUAUCGAACAAACAUUUUCGCUCCAUUGAAAUUACAAAAUAGGCUGCGAGGCCCUUUUCUUCUUCUUCCCUAAGCCAAGAGAUCGGUAUUUGCCCUGUUAAGAGUUCAGUGAGGACCACUCCAAAACUGUACACAUCACUUUUAUCUGUGAAAUGACUUGUUUUGAAGUACUCCGGAUCCAAGUAUCCAAAAGUCCCUCGCACCAAUGUGGUUACAUGAGUUUGGUCGAGGGAUACGAACUUGGGUGUACCGAAAUUUGCAACUUUAGCAUGAUAUUUCUCGUCCAAAAGGAUGUUGGUGGACUUGAUGUCACGAUGAUAGAUGGGUAUAGAAGCUGCUGAAUUCAAGUAAAAUAAGGCUCCAGCGAUUUCGGUUGCAAUUCGUAGGCGUGUGUCCCAUGACAUGAGAAGAUCUUCAUUCAGGUCAUGUAGAUACUUGUACAGAGUCCGAUUUGGUAUGAACUCAUAUACUAAAAGUGGGAUAUCUGUUUCCACGCAAUAGCCCAUUAGCUUAACCACAUUCCUAUGAUCAACUUGCGAGAGAAUGAUGACCUCAUUGAUGAACUCUUCAACCUUUUCCUUGUCUAUUAGUUUUGAUUUCUUAACUGUAACUAUUUUUCCAUCAGUCAGCAUUCCCUUGUAAAACAACGCCUUGUCCACCUUGGCCGAGUAUCCUAUUCUCGUUGAAAUGGUCAGUGGCCUUCUCUAAAUUCUUGAAACUGAAUAAUUUGCUUUUCGCAACGUUACCUUGAGGUGAUGAUGAUAGAUGUUUUUGCAAUAAGGUGCCCCACUGCGUUUUAAAGUACUUCUUUUUUCGCUUAAUUUCCUUUUUUUUCUUGAUGACUCCGUAUAACCACCGAGAGAGAAGCAACACUUGCGCUAAUCGUCCAACGCCCGCUCCAAGGCCUGCAGUUCGGAAAUUUGGCAGAGGACAGAGUCAUAAAAAGCACCUGCUCUUAAGAAUGUUUACUAUUGUGCUAAAUUAUCCACGAAGGAACAGAGUAAUUUGGAAGCAGGAGAACAAUAGAUCUCAUAUUAAAUUAUGGAUAUUCUUUCCAUUGGCCAAGUAGAAAUUUCUUCCCAUCAUAGGAAGCUACCAACUAUAUAUGUGACAAACUUAGAUUAUGCAUAGCUUGAAAAUUGAAUUCAAAACUUCGAUCAAAUCAUGACAUGUAGAAGAGUAGAGCAAUACGUAAAAAAAAUUUUAAAAAAAAAGUGAAUGGAUAGUCACGUUGGAAUGAAUGGUAAGGUAAAACUUACUUAUGUACCUUUUCUGAACAUAAUUUAGGCUAUGCUGUUCUAUUUCUAUCAAUACUCUACAGCAUGAAGCGGCUCAAAUUUCUAAUUUAAAAGAUCUACUUACCAGUAAAAACGAAUUUGGCUGUCUUUUUAGGGUCGUCGCAGAAAUAAGUACCCAAUUUGUUCACACAAGUCCCCGGGCACAUAUUUGAAUCCUCAUAUUAAGUAAAAUCGAAGGAAGAAGGCCACAAAGACCAAAUUUAUUUUUCUAGGUUCAUCAUACUCGAUUCAAUUCUAUGUUACGACCGUGGUUUUCCAUUUAUAUUUUUAUUCAAUCAAUUUUAGGAAAAAUGUUCAACACGGUAUAUAUUUUGACACUUAACCACUUUGUUUAUUUUGGGCCUUUUCUCUCUCUCUCUCUCUCUCUUAGCAUAUGUCAACCUUCGUAUAUCUUUCAUAAUUUUAUUUUCUUUUCAAAAAAUAGCAAAAAUAACCAAUGGUACUCUCCUAUGUUGACACCUACCCACCGUUAGUAAUUAUUUUUGACCUUAUAGUUCUUUUUUAGGCCAUGUUCAGCUAUCACAUUUUUUUUUCUUCAGAAUUUUUUUUCCUAAAAAAAAUUGCAAAUAUAAGCAUUAUCAAUGUUCUUUCCAUGAUUACGUUUUUCAUUCUAUAUGUUCUGUUUCAAAUACAUGGAUUCAUCCGAAAGAAAGUGUCAAUAUGCUAACAAAAAUCGUUGAAAUAAUCUGUUAUGGGACAUUCUACAAACAUAAAACAAUUGCAAAGAAAAAAAAAUGAUGGCCCAUUUUUUAUAUAAAAAGAAUCAUUAAAUAACUUGAAAAAUUCUAAAGAAAUUACUUUUGAGGAAAAUAUCCACAUUCGUUUUGAUGUUAUGGAUGAUAUCACACGUGUGUCAUGGUUGAUUUUGUAUAUAAAGGAAAUGAUCAAAUCUCAUGCAAACACUUUAAAAGAAUGGUUUUUUUUUUAAAAAUAAGUUAAUUGACUUUAAAAGAAUGGUUAAUACUUAAAAAAAUCAGAAAUUGAUAUAUCCGUGACAAAUUUACCCAAAACUAAUUUUUUAAGAACAAAAAACCCAAAACUUGUAUACCUUUGAUAAUUUACCCCAAAUCGAUACGCUUAUAACAAAUUUACCAUUUUUAGCUUUUGUUAAAUUUUAUUCUCAAAUUGCAAAGUUCGAUAAUAUAUGACAUUUGACUAAUGUAUCAAUUUGAGAUUUUACUUUUUGUUUAUCACAGUUGUACCAUUUUUGUGGUUUUUUUUUAAUAUUAAUCUAAUUUAAGGGAAAAUAUAUAUUUGUGACAAAUAUACCACUUUGAGGUUUUUGAUAGUUGAACAAAUUAUUUUUGGGUAAAUUUGCCACACGUGUACCUGUUUGAGACUUUUUGCAAUCAUUUGUGAUAUAUUUAUUACAGGUGUACCAAUUUAGGGUUUUUCAUGAUUCAAAAAUUAGUUUGAGGUAAAUUCAUCAUAAGUGUAUUAGUUUAUAAUUUUUUAGGGUAUUAAUCCUUAAAAGAGUUAAGUGUGAAAGAAAGACCCAGAGUCUAUUUUUAAGUGUUAUGAAGUAUAUAUAUAAAUUAGUGGGGAGAUAUUUUCUAUGCAUCCUGGCAUAGUAACAAAAAUAUCACCACAUCUCAUGAUCCUUUAAAAAUGUACAUUUAAAUUUUACAUCAUCUUACUUAAACUACUAAAAAAAAAUAAAAAUAAAAAUACUUUCAUUAUAGGACAACUGUACAAUAAUAUCAUCCAAUUGAUUUUCUCCCGAUAUACUUACAUCUAUCGAAAGAGAAGGCUAUAGAGAGAUUUUUAUUUUUAUUUUUAAUGUCAGACGGAACCAUUUAAUUUUCGCGUGGACCAAACCAUUAUUUGUCUUGACAAUUAAUGGUCAAAACAAAUUCAAGUUAAAAAUUGAGUUAAAGGGGGAAGAGUUCAAAAAUAAAGAAUCAAAUGACUGAAAUUGCAUCAUGCUAUAUAACAUUUUCGAGGUUGGGAGUUUUAUCAUUCGUAGACUCCAUGUUUAAUUUAUUUAGAUGACAGGAUGUAAUAUUCACGAAUCUGGGUGCACCAAAGAUGGAUAGUCCUCGUUCAUAAAAUAUGUGCCCAAAUCAAACAGCAAACUUGAAUUCCGAAGAGCUGUGUACGAACAACAAACAUCCGAUCCACUGAAAAUGCAUCAGGCUAUAUAACAUUUUCUAAAUAGUGGGAUUUAUCAUUUAUAGACUCCCUGUUGCCUUUCUUGAAAUGAUAGGACGGGAUAUUCCCGAAUCUGGGUGCACAAAAGAUGGAGUCCUUAUUCAUAAACAUGACAGAUUGAAGAAAUCUACUUACCUAUGAGGACAGACUUGAUUAUCUUGCUUCCAUCUACACAGUCAUAGGAACCUCGUCGAUUCACACACUUUCUUCUUCCAGGGCACGGAUCGGUUGGACCUUUGCAUUCAUCCACAUCUGAACAAAAGAUGACAAUCAAAAUUAGUAGAGCCUCGUCUCUUUAUUGGGCGUUUAGUAUUGCAUGCAAAGCUACUUCAGCCUCCAAAGAGCUACUUCUCCUUAUUAGUACAGUGUUUCGAUGUUGCGUUUCCAAUGAUUGGUGUGAUAAUAUGUAACUGGUCUUACCUUCGCAUCCAGAUUUAAUAUAGGGGUUACCGGUGAAGCCCCCACGGCAAGAACACUGCAGAAAUGGCAUCUCCUUGGGAUACGGUGAAUUGAAGCUGAAAUUGCUGCAAUGAUAGGAAUCGCCAUGUUUGUAAAUCUCUGAGGCAGCUCGGGAGGAUUUAGCUAUCCCCCAUUCUAGCACCACUGGGAAAUGCCCGCUCGCCUUCAACUUAUUGAAGUCCAUAGUUGAAGAUGUGAAUUUCGACCUAUCUCCCAAGAAGGCAUACUCGCAUUGAUUCAUUGGUGAAUCCUUGUCGGGAUUGAAAGUGAUGGUGAAAGCCUGAAGAUCCGGGGUAAUCGUGGUGUGGCAGCAUCCAUCGCUGCCCGAACAAGUCAUCUUCCUAACAACCUUGUCAUCUUUGCAGCUAGAUUUGCAUCCUAUGAUUGACUUUUGGUUAUCCAAUAGAACGGCUAUGUUGCAACCGACGGCGGCCAAGACGUUCCUUGACUCGGAGAAGAUGAAAUGGCUCCCGUUCAAGCUCACAGGCAUAGAGCUUCCAUUUCCCCUGCAUGUCCCAUUAUGCCAGUAGAUUAUUGGAAGACUGACGGUGAUCAUGCCGUUCUUUCCACCAUGGGAAUUGGGUAGCGAAAUGUUGAGCACCCUCAAGUUAAGCUUCUUCAGCAUUGGGACGGCACUGUCGGUGCUCUCGUCGCAGAAGAUCUCGUACCACUCAUCGAGGAAACACCCGGUACCAAACCCGAAGGGAAAGGGAAUGGUGACGGCACCACAUGUUGAGAGGCAAUUACCCUUCACCAGGGGAGCUGCUAGCGAGGCUUCUUCAUGAAGCAGAAGCGACCCUAGAAGCAGAAGAAUCUGAAACAUUCUUGUUCCUGCUUCUUUUCUC